This 3201-nucleotide long non-coding RNA is filed under the name Olea europaea subsp. europaea. Lineage: Eukaryota; Viridiplantae; Streptophyta; Magnoliopsida; Lamiales; Oleaceae. The record is from RNAcentral.
AAUUUGGUUGGCUUGAUUUUUUGAGAUUAUGCGUUAUUUUCUUAUCUCUUAUUCAAUGUUCUAACAUUUGAAUUUUUGAAGGAUGGAGUAUUAUUUAGAUAGGGAGUUGAGACGGAUGGCGGGGAAAGCUACUUGGAACAAUAGCUUUGAGAGUUUUACUACUGUGUUGAAGUUGCUCGAUGAUCAUCACGGAGAUAUGCUACGACAAUCCUUCUUGUGGCCACUGUACCAGAUGUGAAAGAGGUGCAGUACUUAGGACAGAUCAUCGAUGCACUUCUAUGUCAGCUUCUGAGGCCAGUCAACGGCGAUUCCCUCCACUUCGACCUCAGGGCCAGGGACUUCAGUUUCUCGAUAUAUGAGUUUAGCUUGAUCCCUGGACUGAGGAUUACGGGCGACGAUGCAGCCAUUAAGAGAAGCAAUAUGUUGUACGAGACGUACUUCCAGGGACAUGGGUCGAUGCUUCUACCCGAGUUGAUGGUCACGAUCAGGGGGUGUGACCAGAUGCUUGAUAGAUUGAAGCUUGGGCUGGUCUAUAUCCUCGAGAGUGCGAUGAGGUGUCAUCACAAGAAAACUGCCAUCGACAUUUUUCAUUUGCAAGUUGUUGACGAUAUCGAUGCGUUCAACAACUAUUCAUGGGGCCGGAGAUGCUAUGAAGAUUUCGUACAUGUCUUCACCAGAUCACACUCGAGGCCUAAGGGUCAAUGCGUAAAUACGAUACAUAUGGAUUGCCCUUAGCAGUGCAGCUAAAUGUUUAAUAUAAUUAAAAUUAAAGUUUUAGUAUAUUACAUUUAUGAAUAAUAAGUGUAUGUGUUGCAGAUUUGGGUGUAAGAGACAGCCCUUGUACUGGGAGCCCGCUCUGCGAAGCGAGGGGAGACACGAUACCCUCGGAUGCAUCAUUGGAGAUCAUCGCGAGCGGACGGAUGUCCCACUGGGAAACAGUUAUCUGCCCUCCUCGACGAUCCUCAGGUAAGUAUUGUGCAUUUGUAAUUUAUAUUAUACGUAGUUUAAAAUCUGUUUACAUGAUCAUUAACUAAUUGAAAUGUCAUUAUGUCAGUUUGAAGUCAUACCUGAGUUGACGCCGUCGAUGGAAGAGGAGGCUCGGGGUCUUGUGUGGGAUUUAGGCGUUUUGCACACCCAAGACGAGGAGAUGUCUGAUCCGAGCUUGGACCGAGAUUGAGUAUGUGAAUUAAAUAUAAUUUAUUGAAUAUCGUCGACGUAUAAAUUUAUUGAAUAAUUUUUAAUGUUAUUUAUGUAGGAGGGCGGUCCAGCUGAUCGACGAUUACUUUCGCCGAGGGUAUCGCCGCCACCAUCGGCAUCACCUCCGCCGAGAGCAUUGUCGUCGCCAUUGACAUCACCUCCGUCGAGGGCAUCAUCGCCGUCAUUGGCAUCGCCACCGCCGAGGGUAUCUCCUUCUUCCUCGUCCAGACACAUUCCCUGUGUAUCUCCGGCACACAUUGAUGAUUUGUAUGCCCGUCUGACUAGAUUUAUAGCGGAGGAGGUCGGCGUGCUACGACGAGAGUUGACGAAGAGGGUCGAUGAUUUGGGACGAGAGUUGACACGGAUGGCCGACGAUAUGGGACGAAAGUUGACAGGGAGGGUUGACGAUCUAUCCCAUGAUGUUGGAAUGCUACGGUCUUGCGUUGUCGACCUUCAAGAUACGAUAGUGGCACUUAGAGGAGAUUUAGCCGAUAGGCGAUGGGGGGACAGAGGGGAUGGUGGAGAUGAUGAUCGAGAGGGUAACAGAGAUGGCGAUGGGAGGGGGGUCACCUACAUUUUUGGCGUGAUGAGACAUUAGAAUCAUUGUGGUUAUCUAUGGAUGCAGAGUGGGUGGCCCCGAUGGCGAUGAGAAAGGGGAUGACGGAGGGGGUGGCCUCGAUCGGAGGGGGCGGACGGAGGUGGCGACCGAGGAGGUGGCCCCGGAGGUCGAGAGGACGCCCAUCGUGAUUGAGGGUAAGAGACAUGCUGUUGAUGAGAUGGAGCAGGUGGUUGGCAAAAGGUUGAGAGUGCCGUCAUAGUAUGUUAUUUCCCCCUUCACGGUUGAGGUCAAGAGGAGGACGUUCAUCGAUGGGACGCACCCGACUUAUUCAGGGAGGUGGACAACGCCAAGUGAAAAGCAUUCGAGAUGGAGUGGAGGAGAAUUAUCCCUGGGUAAGUAUUGUAUGAUUUUAAUAAAACAUUGUAUGCUAACUUGUCUAUGCUUAUUUUAACAUUUUCCUUUUUUUUAGAGUUAGUCGCACGAUAGGUAACCGAACAGUAUCGGACCCUUACAAGUGGUUUCACGAUAUCACCACUUCGGAAGCUUGGCUCGCCGACGAUGUAAGUGAACUAUUCAUUUCGUGUUUUUUAUGUAUACGUCACUUUGUAUUUAUUAAAUGAAUAACUCAUACUUUUUUGGUGUUUCCUGAUGCAGCACAUCGAUCUAACCAUGGACUUGCUGCGAGAUCGAGCUCAAAGACAUCCAAAAUCAUUUGACGUCCAUGGUCGAGUCAUAUUAAACACCGAGUUCCUGCGUACCGUUACCAUAGAGUAUCAGUCGCUCCAACUUAUGGGUAAUGAGUACACGGUGCGAGAAUAUAUGCUCGAGUGAGUCAUAGGAAUGUCGUCGGGUGUCGAGGGAAAAUCAUGGUGGGGUUGUACACAUAUGUACAUUACAGCGUGCAUCAAUAAGCACCAUGUUACGCUGGAAAUCGUUUUUGCUGAGACGACUAUAUAUGUGUACGACCCAGAUCAUUCAUGUUUGACACAAGGCCAGUUGGAGCAAAAUCUGUAGUCCAUAGCUGUAAUUGUUCCUAUGAUGGCCAGACGAGCGGGGAUGACUGUACAAACAGAUUGCGGAUUGUUCAGAACACGACGACAGUGCGACAGUCCAUAAGGUAAGCGUUUGAACUUUGUUGUUUUCAUCUUUCAGAUUUAGUUUUUAGCAACACAGUACUGAACUGAUCCAUUCUUGUUCAAUUGUAGCGACGACUGUGGCAUAUUUGCCAUUAAGUACGUUGAAUUUUUAAGUAUAGGAUAUAAGGUUGAUGGAAUCAACCAAUCGUGAAUACUGAACUGGAAAAAGAAGUUAGCUUGUGAUUUGUUCGAAUUUAAUGGUGACCCAUAUUUGUAUUAAAUAUAUGUAACAUUUGAAUUGUAAAUUUAAUUAUUUUUUGUGAUUAUAAAAUAAUUGUAAAUUUGUGUUCCAUGUAUAUAACAUUCACA